This 190-nucleotide ribosomal RNA is filed under the name Actinomyces graevenitzii. Its description in RNAcentral is "partial 16S ribosomal RNA". It matches the Rfam family "Bacterial small subunit ribosomal RNA", at positions 1345 to 1533 of the family's 1533-position model. The record is from RNAcentral. Lineage: Bacteria; Bacillati; Actinomycetota; Actinomycetes; Actinomycetales; Actinomycetaceae.
CGCAUCAGCCAUGGCGCGGUGAAUACGUUCCCGGGCCUUGUACACACCGCCCGUCAAGCCAUGGGAGUCUGGAGUACCUAAAGUCCGUAACCGCAAGGGUCGGCCUAGGGUAAUACAGGUGACUGGGGCUAAGUCGUAACAAGGUAGCCGUACCGGAAGGUGCGGCUGGAACACCUCCUUUCUGGAGUUC